This is a long non-coding RNA of Stegostoma tigrinum, 4134 nucleotides long. RefSeq lists it as uncharacterized. The record is from RefSeq and is a predicted model, not a curated record. The transcript is spliced from 3 exons. Lineage: Eukaryota; Metazoa; Chordata; Chondrichthyes; Orectolobiformes; Stegostomatidae.
CGCACCGUUGCAUGCUGCGGUAAUGUCUGAAAUUGCAAAGUUAUCCAAUGAUUUCAGACCACUUUGAGACUUCCUGAAGAUAGAGGCAAGACGCUCUAUGUACAGGCUCUUCUUAUUGGGGCAAAUUUGUAUUAAAGGCUAAAACGUUCUGGGGAGGGCUCACUCGACCUUUUCCACUGAUGCUGCCAGACCUGCUGAGUUUUGCCAGCAAUUGCCGUUAUUGUUUCAGCAUUAAGGCUAACUUGGCUAACCAUAUGUGACUCAUAGUUUUUUUUGUACAGUGGAACUUUACAAAAACAAUCAACCAAAUCGAUUGGGCUCCAUCAAACAAUCCUCAUUCUAUUUCCUCUUGAUCGUGACAUCUCUAACAGGGAGGAUUGAAUCGUCAGCGGCGGUGAAAUUCUGGGAAUUAGUCAAAGCAACCACCCGUUCUGGAAUGAUUCCCUGUAUCCCUGUGCGGCUGGAAAAAGUUCCUAUUCUGCUGCCUUGAGGAACCUGUGCCCAGGGAUCUCUGCAAGGACGGUACAUGGUUUGUGGCUUGUAAACCCCGAUCCAAUGAUAAAACAACACAUCUGAGCGGGUAAACAUCACUAAUGAACGGCUUAGUGUUUCUAGAGGCCGCCACCAUGUUUCUCCCGCCCAGCUCUGAGCCACCGUGAGCCCCGAAGGUAAAGUGAAUCCCUCUAAUAGUCCCAAUCUAUUUUAAAAUGAUUUUCAUUUUUUUUACGAAUGGCCGUUGAAUUUCCUCCUCGCUGCUGGCCGUUUUGUAAAUAUCUGACCCACAUGCACGAGGAGAACGUUUGGGAAGGGAGAAUAUUUUACUGCGGUUCGGAGCUGUGAACUUUUUAUAUGGAUUUUACAGUUUGCGAGUUAAACCUAACAACAAUGCAAAACUGUGUAAGGAAAAAUAUCAUGCACUUCUUCAUAAUAAUAACUUUAUUCAACCUUCGAAGUCGUUAGAAUCGAAAAGAUCCUAUUUAUAAAAGAUUGAUGUUUUUAAGUACGAGCCGGGAACUGGGCCAAAUGACAUCUUUACAGAAAUCAAACUGUUUCAAGCUCAAAAUCACAUUAUGUCCAAAGCCUUUGCACCCAGCAGCAAGAUAACGAUGAUAUCGGAAACAGUUUAUAGAGAACUCACACUGAGAAUCCAUGCAAUUACGCCCGUAUUAAUAAAGACAUCGACAGUCAUGGAGGGGCGGAGAGGCAGCGAAAUUGAAGAACAGCGACACCUGUCGAUUACAGCCCAAUCUCUGCUGGCCAAUUGUUUGUCGAGAUUCUUCAUUAGAUUUGGACGUUUUCCAAGGUUCUGUAUUGGGAACAUAGUUAUUCAUGAAGACAAUCCCCAAGGAAUCAAGGCUUCUUCUUAACAGUCAGUUCCCCUCACUACCUGCCUGAGAGGACCUUUCAGCCUUUUAACUGGAAAUUCCUGGAUUGUGGAGACAGUCGAUAAAGGGGAGGGGCCCACAGCAUCUCCUCAUGUUUUAUGGUUAAAUAACUGGUAAGGAGUGCCACUACUUACAGAAUAAAUGUGGUUUUAAGAAGAUGCCAAACUGAAACAAAGAAACACUUAUAGCAAAGAAGAGUUGGUGAUGGGACAGGACAAGGACAUGGUGGGAGGGGUGAUGCAGAAGAGAAAGAGAAAAAGAGAAAAUGGAGCAAAAAAAGAGAAACAAAGAAUUUGUGGGAGUCAUGUGAAAAACGAGAAAAAGAGAAGCACUGGAAAUGAAGAAAUAGAUACAGAGCAAAGAAGAAUGAAGAAAGAGAAUGAGAAAAAGAGAAACAAGAGAUAGACAGACAGAGACAAACAGAUCCAACACACUCCUCAUUAUAUAUUGUUCAUUGCACUGAACCAAAUUCAAUUUUCCAGUAAUUAAAAUUGUGCAAAUCCAAACAACACUGGAGUAGAGAUAAAAAUAGAGUAAUAGACAAUUUGAAUUACACAAAUCAGAAUUAAGAACAGAUUGUACAAAAACCAGGCCGAUUCUGCUAUGUCUAAACUUUCAGAUGGUAAAUGCAGAAAGAUUUCCUCUAUUCUUUAUCUGCAGUAACGUAGCUGACAUUUUAUUUUGAGACCAAUCUUCAUAUGCUUUCACAAUAUGUAAUAAAGAAAAAGGCUGAUUGGUACCUUCCCAUCCCAAAUUGUUUCUAUUUUUAUUGUGACUUUUUCUGAGAAUGAUUGACUUCAGGGAAAGCCAACAUCUGACUCCGCUGUCUCCUAUUUGGUUCAGCCUUCAUAAUGUAUUGUUCUACUGAGAAUAACCCCGUAAACUUAAAAUAAUUCAAAGCUUCACUGCUCAUAACCUGAAUGAACCCCUGCCCUCACUGAUUAAUGUUGGUUUCUGUUCCAGUAGCACCUCUACUUAAAAUUCUCAAGAUACAUUGAAAUUGCUCCAUGGCUUCAGCCCCUCCUAAUGUUGUAACCUUGUCCACACCCCAAAGGAUGUGUUCCCCUUCACAUCCCUGAUUUUAAUGACUUCAGCAUUAGAUUUGUGCUUUUACAACCUGGUUCCUAAGCGCUGGAAUUCCAUCUCUAAACCCAAACAUUCACCUCGUGGACCAAACUUGUGGUUAUCUGCUUUAUUAUCUCUUACAUGCUGUCACUUUGCCUGAUAAUGGGACCUGUGAAGCAAGUUGAAAUGUUUUACUACUUUAAAUAUACUACAUGAAUAUACUUUGUCAGGAACACUAUUAUUGAAACAGUUAAUGCAAAACCUUUAGAAAACAAAAGUGCAUUCUUGGCUCUAAACUUGAACAAUGUUGCAAAGACACUUCGUAUUUAUUAUUGUUUGGAGGACUUACAUUCUGUGUAGUAUAUGGAAAGGUUUCUUUUAAAAUGUUUCAUUGAAAAUUCUCUGUGGAAAUGAGCAGUAAUUUACCAAGGCUGCCUGCAGAUCACGUGACUGAUGAUAACUGCUUGAUUUGCUGCAGAUACUUUCUGGGGCUAUUUUGUUCUGUGGCUGCUUUGAAGAAGUACUCGCAUCAUUUUGUUCAGUUGGAUGGAAGCCUGGUAAAAACAAGCAAAGUUGAGGGAAAGCUUACAAGAACAAGCAGCCCAGCUGAUCUCUCUUAUUUCUGAAAAUAAAAUCCCUUUGUUGAGUUGAGGGUUAAACUUAUUUGGUCUUUUCAAAGGAUUACAUUCAGUUCUGCUACAACGCAAUUAGUUGCAUUUGAGUGCAACUUCGCAUGAUAGAAAAUGGUGCUAUAGAAAUAACAGGAGCCUAUGGGAAAAGUGGGGCUGGGGGCAGAUCAUGAGAAAAAAACACAUUCAAAAUUGUCCAAAAAUCACUUAAAACCCUAUCACAGAGGAUAGCACAAUUUAAAUAAAUGUUUAAUUCAUGUCUAAGAAUGAAAUAAAAGUAAAUUUAACACUUUACCUUAAAAAAAAAGUCAAGAUGACUAGAUGGGGGAUGAGAUUGUACUGUACCUCUCAUAGAAAGCACUCCACAACAAAGCCUGUGAAACAAUGAUGCGAUGUUGAUGCAUUCUUUACUCGGAGAGUGGUAAGGGCGUGGAACGCGCUGUCUGCCAAUGUAGUUAACUCAGCCACAUUAGGGGCAUUUAAACAGUCCUUGGAUAAGCAUAUGGGUGAUGAUGGGAUAGUGUAGGGGGAGGGGCUUAGAUUAGUUCACAGGUCAGUGCAACAUCGAGGGCUGAAAGGCCUGUCCUGCGCUGAAUUGUACUAUGUUCUAUACUCCUCCAUGCACUGAUGGAAUUGAGUUAUAGCCAACACAGGUUCGCGUUUUAGAAAUAGCAUUCACCUAUUCGUCAAUCAAGUUAUACGCAAUUCACGUUGCUGGAACACACAUUAUAGCAGAACUGACCGUAUUUAAGAAACAUAUCAAGGUUCUUCCCUUGGAUUGGGGAAUUUCAAGACAUUUUUUAGGGUGCGAGGAGAGAGGUUUAAAUAAGACGAGUGGCAAAUCUUUUACACUGAGAGUAUUCACGUGAAAUGAACUUCCUGAGGAAGUGGGGGAUGUGGGUACAGUUACAACAUUUAAAAUACAUUUGGAUAAGUACAUGAAUGGGAAAGGUUCAGAGGGGUAUGGGCCUGGAGCAGGCAGGCAGUGGGACUAGUUGAGUUUGGGGUUAUGUUCGGGAUGGACUGAAGGGUCUGUUUCUGUGCCGUACGACUGU